UCAUCCUGCAAUCGUCAACCAUUCAUUCCCCACCCCCGAUCCUUUUCUCGCUCGGAAAACGGACAAUAAGUUUCUUUUCCUUUUUUCAAAAAGAGGAAGAGGAAAUAGUCGAAAUGGAAAUAGAAACUCGUUGUUUGCGCAACACGCGACGAGUGCGUGCGUGCGUGCGUCUGUUCGAAUGCGGCUAUCAUCGAGUAUCUCGCGCUCGUACCAUCACUGUUCCGCGACUGAACGUGCGGUUGGCGCUCAUAGAUUAUCGCGAUUAUUUUCCACAAGAUAAGAAGUUAAUUAUCGAUCAACCCGCUGAUUGACUACGAUACUGCGCGUAAAAUAUCGCGUAGCGACGUACGUGCGUUCCUCGCCAUCGAUCGUCAAAUUUUUCUCUGUCGAAAUAUAUAUAUAAUAACAAAAAGAAACGUGUACGAUUCGCAAGUUUAAAGGCGUGGCUCGUUCGCCGGAUUUCUUUCCACUCCGCUCGAGUAUGCGAACGCUAUUCCGCUAGUUAUUAUUUGUUGCUCGACAAAACGGAUUCUUUCUCGUGCUGCAUAAAAUCGGCCGUGAUGCAACCGUGAAAAUUUCACGCUUCGAGGUGUUUUGCCUCGAUCGAUUCGUUCGUAACGCGCUUUCGUUCGCUUCGAUUUUAUUCGUACUCGGCAAAAGGAAGGAAAGGCGGUUUCGAUCGAUCUGGGUGAACAACAUUAUCAUUCGCUAUUGAGCGCAUCUUUUCGAGUCCAGUAAUCAAGUUAUUUUUACGUUUACGAUGAAUCGAAUUCGAUUGGAUGUAUCUUAGUCAAAAUCUUAUCGCGAGAUAUUGAUAAAAAUACGACUUCUUUUUCUUUCAAACGAUGUUUAAAAAUAGAGAUCUAAUUGAUCGUUCGAGAUCGAGUCUCGCUCAGACGAUCGAGGAAAAUGAAGAUAAAAUACGUGAGCGGGUUUUGGUAUUCACGUACUCGCUUGAGACCAGGCUCAAGAAGGGUCGACACAAUGCAAGCACGUUCCUCCGAUGUCACGUACGCGUAAUUACGCGUCAGUUUCAAUUUUUAUUUUAUUUCGCCUGGUGAAUAUUUCAAAAGGUAAAAGGCUCCUCGUGCACUUUCUCCCGUUGAGUUCUCAUUCCGCUCGAGCAGAGCAACGCGCUUCGAACGAGAAAAAUUUUCGAGCUUACUCCAACGAAGAAAAAAAAAAGAAGAAAAAGAAGAAGGAGAAACAGAAACUGGAAUAAAAAAAAAAGAAAGAUUCUCUCGUGUACUCUACAAAACAAGUCUUCGCGUAAACUUUCAUCCGCUCGUUCAAAAAAUUUCAAUAAUAAUGGAAGUCAGUUUUCGUGUCAAGAUAUUCUGUCAACCGAAAGCCUCAGUUAAAAAGAGACGAAUACGAAACGAUGAAUCGUCUCAGAUUCGAAUCGAAAGUUUAAUUGAUGUAACUCGAAAACGAAAGAAAAAAAAACUCGUCGUAAAUCAAUUUCAUUCAACAAGUUAACAACAAAGAGAUGGUAUGAAAGGAAAGAUAUAGCGUUGUCAAUAAAUGGAUAAAAAAAAUAUUAAUUUCGAGUGGAAAAUGAUCGAUAAUAAAAAAAAAAAAGAAGAAAAGGAAUAUUGAAAUUUUUCAAUAGAUUGUUCGACAGUUAAUUCGAAAUUGAAAAAAAAAGACAAUCGUAGAAGAUAAUCGCUCCUCCGUCGUAAAAAUUUCAAUAAAUCUAAAAAGGAUAAGUUUCGACAAAGGGGAACGAUAAUUCGAACGUGGAUCCACUCUCGAGAGAUUAAUUCAUCGUCUUAUAAAUCAAUUUCACUUACGAACAAAGAGAUGAAACGAAAUGAACGUCGUGGAACCGCGCGCGUUCCGCGCCACGCACGCAUAAUAAUCACGUUGCGGUUGUUGUUGUUGUUGUUGUUGCUGUUUGCGUCGUUAUAUAUACAUCGCGAACGAUAGAUCAUUCACACUGGUAACGCACGUGUACGCUCUUGAUGCACACCGUUGAUGCUAUCGACGACGGCCGAGGGAACAACCUCGUUUUCGUCCAAUUCGAUUUCACGCUGCAACUUUCCCCUUAACCCUUUCGAGACGAAUUUUUUCCUCUUAAUUCGAUCAAAAUUAAAUUCGACUCGAGAAUUUCACUUGUUCCACAAUUAUCGAGUAAACGACCACGAUAUAUUUACUCGAUGUAUAACAAUGGCGAAUAACAAUAUCGGAAUGAAAAUUAAAAAAAAAAAAAAAAAGGAAAGAGUGAUUUGAACGGACAAAGACAAAGAGUUUGCGGGAAUAUUGAAAGGUAUCGGAGGAUCACUUUUGUUCGCUCUGGAAAGAGACAAUGGACGUUAAUAACGAUCAUCUGCACGAGAUGAUAGGUAGAUUGUUUGGGAUAGGGAUGUUUUGUAGUUUCGAUAUAAAGAAGGAAUUUUCGAGCGUUUAGAAAGUGACUUGGCAAGGGAAAAUAACGAUUCGUGGAAAACGAAAGUUCGAUACUGUUGCAUCUUUCCAGCCAAUUAGGAUUAUUAUUUAAUUUUCUCUCUUGAUUUCGAUCGUUCGAAAUAUACUCGAAAGAGAAGAGCAUCGAAGAACAAACCGGGGGAAAGUUGCCAUUUUCUCUUUUAUUUUCGAAACGAUGAUAAAUAAUACACGAUGAUUUUGAAAUUAUUCACCAUAUUUGAAAGAGUCAAAGUACACACGGAAGAAGAUAGAAAUAUUUAGCGAGAAAACUCUGAGUCACAGAGUUAAUAAAGAUCGAUGAAACGUGCUCUCGAUUUCGUUCGAUUCAACGAUAUAACGCAUGCUCGAGGAAUGCAAAACGGUGGUCGAAACGAAACAAUGGCCGUUAACUAAUAAGGAUCAAGUUCACUCGCGCUCAAGUCAGGUGUCGUCCAUCCUCGAAUAACGACAAACAGUCUUCCAAACUGACUCGAUAUUCUUAGGAAACCACGUCGAAAAAGGAAUUCAUCCAAGAUCGAUAUUUCAACUUACUCAACGCGUUAUCGAUUACUCCUUUCGAUAAGUAAAAUUCGAGAAAGAAAGAAAAAAAAGAAUUAUUCCCAAUGGAAUGUAAAUUAAUCACUGAAGGAGAGUAGCACCAUAAUUUCAACUACGACUCAAAAAUGUUCUCGACGACGAGUCCAUCCAACCAAUCCACGAAUCCAUCCUCGUUAACGUUAUCCCACAAGUGUGCACGCACAACACACGCGCGCGCGUCAAUCGUCAAAGCAGUUGCACGCUAAUCAAGCAAACUUCCUCCCAACGACGCGUGCUCCAUUGUUCUUUGGAGGAACAGUUUGGGAAACGUUGCCAUACCGGUUCCACGACCACUUCGUUACUACCAACGACCCAGAUUAUCGCAAAUGAUCGGAAAUAAUUUCUCAACUACCGAUCUUACCUGGAUGGAAGAACAAUUUUCAAUGGGAACGAAGAGAGACAAGGCGCGGGGAAUUGAUUCGAGAAAUGCAAGAGGGAGAAAAAAGUGGGAGGAACUGUAAACAUGGCGUUAAGAUAAGCGAUACAUUUAAGACUAUAUUCGUGGACAAACAUUUAUAUAAUGUAAGAAGAAAGGGGGAGGGAGGGAAAGAAAAAAAAAGACAAACGUCUGUCGAGGAUUAUAGCGUAUAAGCGGUAAUACAGAGAGGACUGUAGUGGCGAUCGUUAGACUUGCAAAUAAGUAACCACGCGAUGGUUAAACGCUGCAAUUUAAUAUCCCUGUAUUUCCCUUGGAGAGGUUAAAUAUAUGCAGACACACUGGAGUAGAUAUGCUCCAUUAUGCGGCUCCCCUGCACGGACUUUCCAUUCGAUUCGAGAGAAACGAAAAGGAGGGAUACAGAAGAAAAAAAAAAAAAUUGGAAACGCGGAUGAAAUUCAUUGGGAUUUUUUCAUUUGGCGCGGGAUAAUUUUUAUCCUCCAUUCGAAUGAAAAGAGAACAUGAACGCACGAGAGACACGCGAAUUCGAAAUAUGGUGAUUAUGAAUUGAAUAUGUUAUUUUAUUCGAAGGGGAAUAAAGGGAUUGGAGACGAGGGACGUGUGAAAUUGAAACCAUGAAUUUCGUUGCGUUUGUUUCAACCUCCAAUUUAAUUCGAGAGAAGUAAAACGAGAGACGGGAAAGAAAAUCCAAAAAGAAAAUAGCGAUAGAGAUACCAUAAAUUUAGUUGUUUAAUUAAAAUUGUACGUUAUUACGAGUUAAAAACAUCUUAUUAUACUUUAAACGAGUAUAUUAUACAGUUUAAACUAAAUCUCGGUAGCGCUGCUGGACUCUUAAUGGAAGUACAACAGAGGCUUCAUAAAGGCUCAAAUAAAAUCUCUAAUCGCAUCCAAUUAGGAUGUUUUAAGUAUUAAUAAUUCUGAUUACUAUAUUUAGCUCAAUUUAGACAAAUAACAAUUUAUGAAUUCCAUUACACAUUAAUAAACUCAAUUGAAACGCAUAA
This is a long non-coding RNA of Apis cerana (Asiatic honeybee), 4401 nucleotides long. RefSeq lists it as uncharacterized. NCBI's taxonomy places the organism in Eukaryota, Metazoa, Arthropoda, Insecta, Hymenoptera, Apidae. The record is from RefSeq and is a predicted model, not a curated record.